GGUCAAUACUUCUUGGAAUGU
Molecule: unclassified non-coding RNA, 21 nt
Filed under: Dictyostelium discoideum
Lineage: Eukaryota; Evosea; Eumycetozoa; Dictyosteliales; Dictyosteliaceae
Source: RNAcentral